AGAGUUUGAUCCUGGCUCAGGAUGAACGCUAGCGACAGGCCUAACACAUGCAAGUCGAGGGGUAACAGGGAAGCUUGCUUCCGCUGACGACCGGCGCACGGGUGCGUAACGCGUAUGCAACCUACCCAUUACAGGGGGAUAGCCCGGAGAAAUCCGGAUUAAUACCCCAUGGUUCCUAAGAGCUUCAUGGCUUUAAGGAUAAAGAUUUAUCGGUAAUGGAUGGGCAUGCGUAAGAUUAGUUAGUUGGUGAGGUAACGGCUCACCAAGACAGCGAUCUUUAGGGGUUCUGAGAGGAAGAUCCCCCACACUGGUACUGAGACACGGACCAGACUCCUACGGGAGGCAGCAGUGAGGAAUAUUGGGCAAUGGAGGCAACUCUGACCCAGCCAUGUCGCGUGCAGGAAGACUGCCCUAUGGGUUGUAAACUGCUUUUAUAUGGGAAUAAUUUCGCUACGUGUAGCGAGUUGCAUGUACCAUAUGAAUAAGGACCGGCUAACUCCGUGCCAGCAGCCGCGGUAAUACGGAGGGUCCAAGCGUUAUCCGGAUUUAUUGGGUUUAAAGGGUGCGUAGGUGGAAUUAUAAGUCAGUGGUGAAAGUUUGCGGCUCAACCGUAAAAUUGCCAUUGAAACUGUAGUUCUUGAGAGAAUUCGAGGUAAGCGGAAUGUGUUGUGUAGCGGUGAAAUGCAUAGAUAUAACACAGAACACCGAUUGCGUAGGCAGCUUACCAGGAUUUUUCUGACACUGAUGCACGAAAGCGUGGGUAGCGAACAGGAUUAGAUACCCUGGUAGUCCACGCCGUAAACGAUGCAUACUCGUUGUUGGCAAAUUAUAUUGUCAGUGACCAAGCGAAAGUAUUAAGUAUGCCACCUGGGGAGUACGUCGGCAACGAUGAAACUCAAAGGAAUUGACGGGGGCCCGCACAAGCGGGGGAGCAUGUGGUUUAAUUCGAUGAUACGCGAGGAACCUUACCUGGGCUAGAAUGCCUUUGCCAUCCCGGGAAACCGGGAGUUCCUUCGGGACGAAGUGCAAGGUGCUGCAUGGUUGUCGUCAGCUCGUGCCGUGAGGUGUUGGGUUAAGUCCCGCAACGAGCGCAACCCCUAUUCUUAGUUGCCAGCAUGUAAUGGUGGGGACUCUAAGAAGACUGCCUGCGCAAGCAGAGAGGAAGGAGGGGACGACGUCAAAUCAUCAUGGCCCUUACGCCCAGGGCUACACACGUGCUACAAUGGCGCAUACAGAGGGUAGCUACCUGGUAACAGGAUGCCGAUCUCAAAAAGUGCGUCUCAGUUCGGAUCGAAGUCUGCAACUCGACUUCGUGAAGGUGGAAUCGCUAGUAAUCGCGCAUCAGCAAUGGCGCGGUGAAUACGUUCCCGGACCUUGUACACACCGCCCGUCAAGCCAUGGGAGUUGGGAGGACCUGAAGGCAGUAACCGUUUAGGAGCUGUUUAGGGUUAAACCAGCGACUGGGGCUAAGUCGUAACAAGGUA
RNAcentral lists this ribosomal RNA (1484 nucleotides) under metagenome. Its description in RNAcentral is "bacterial SSU rRNA". It matches the Rfam family "Bacterial small subunit ribosomal RNA". The record is from RNAcentral.